RNAcentral lists this non-coding RNA (29 nucleotides) under Rattus norvegicus (Norway rat). Lineage: Eukaryota; Metazoa; Chordata; Mammalia; Rodentia; Muridae. The record is from RNAcentral.
GGCACACGAUGUUAGAGGGCCAGCCCAGG